CGAGCGAGAAGACGUAGCAAUACGUUUGUAAAGCGGCGAACGGGUGAGGAGUACAUGGGUAACCUACCCUUGAGUGGGGAAUAACUAGCCGAAAGGUUAGCUAAUACCGCGUACGCUCCUUGGACUUCGGUUCAGGGAGGAAAGCGCUGCCGAGGGCAGCGCGCUCUUGGAUGGGCUCAUGUCCUAUCAGCUUGUUGGUGAGGUAACGGCUCACCAAGGCUUCGACGGGUAGCUGGUCUGAGAGGACGAUCAGCCACACUGGCACUGCGACACGGGCCAGACUCCUACGGGAGGCAGCAGUAAGGAAUAUUGCGCAAUGGGCGAAAGCCUGACGCAGCGACGCCGCGCGGGGGAUGAAGGUCUUCGGAUUGUAAACCCCUUUCGGGAGGGAAGAUGGAAUGGGGUAACCCAUUCGGACGGUACCUCCAGAAGCAGCCACGGCUAACUUCGUGCCAGCAGCCGCGGUAAUACGAAGGUGGCAAGCGUUAUUCGGAUUUACUGGGCGUACAGGGAGCGUAGGCGGUUCGGUAAGCCCUCUGUGAAAUCUUCAGGCUUAACCUGGAAAAGUCGGAGGGGACUGCUGGGCUAGAGGACGGGAGAGGAGCGCGGAAUUCCCGGUGUAGCGGUGAAAUGCGUAGAGAUCAGGAGGAAGGCCGGUGGCGAAGGCGGCGCUCUGGAACGUUUCUGACGCUGAGGCUCG
RNAcentral lists this ribosomal RNA (700 nucleotides) under uncultured Nitrospira sp. Its description in RNAcentral is "bacterial SSU rRNA". It matches the Rfam family "Bacterial small subunit ribosomal RNA", at positions 63 to 755 of the family's 1533-position model. Lineage: Bacteria; Pseudomonadati; Nitrospirota; Nitrospiria; Nitrospirales; Nitrospiraceae. The record is from RNAcentral.